RNAcentral lists this ribosomal RNA (301 nucleotides) under uncultured bacterium. RNAcentral's name for it is "partial 16S ribosomal RNA". It matches the Rfam family "Bacterial small subunit ribosomal RNA", at positions 509 to 807 of the family's 1533-position model. The record is from RNAcentral.
CAGUCGCCGCGGGAAUACGAAGGGUGCAAGCGUUACUCGGAAUUACUGGGCGUAAAGCGUGCGUAGGUGGUUGUUUAAGUCCGUUGUGAAAGCCCUGGGCUCAACCUGGGAACUGCAGUGGAUACUGGGCAACUAGAGUGUGGUAGAGGAUAGUGGAAUUUCCGGUGUAGCAGUGAAAUGCGUAGAGAUCGGAAGGAACAUCUGUGGCGAAGGCGACUAUCUGGGCCAACACUGACACUGAGGCACGAAAGCGUGGGGAGCAAACAGGAUUAGAUACCCCCGUAGUCCCUGUCUCUUAUAC